GUUCAUUUUUUAAUAAUGUAUAUGUUUCUGAUUCACCUUCGAUUUUUACAGAUUUUUACAGAUAUUUUUAAUAAUGACCUCGGUGGACCCUAUGCAUUUCUUGAGCCACUUUUUGUUCAAAGACCCCUUCUAUAUAAGAUACAGACAAGGAGAAAAAAGAGGAUUCAGAUAACUGUAUCACUUUCUGCAAGUACAAAUACACAAGCACAGAAUAUCUUUCCCCUUUAUGUACUUUUAGCUAGACCUACCAGUAAUAUUUCGCUUGAGGGCAUUCUCCGAUAUAUCGAGCGGGAUGAUGCUUGGUGGACGUGUACAUACUAAUGUGAUGCACCUUAGCCACACCAAGGUGGACGACAAACCUAACUCUACU
Molecule: RNA transcript, 370 nt
Organism: Zea mays
Lineage: Eukaryota; Viridiplantae; Streptophyta; Magnoliopsida; Poales; Poaceae
Gene name: polycomb protein pseudogene
Exons: 4
Source: RefSeq, marked validated